UACGGGGGGGGCAAGCGUUGUUCGGAAUUACUGGGCGUAAAGGGCCAGUAGGCGGCCAACUAAGUCCGACGUGAAAUCCCAAGGCUUAACCUUGGAACUGCGUCGGAUACUGGAUGGCUUGAAUUCGGGAGAGGGAUGCAGAAUUCCAGGUGUAGCGGUGAAAUGCGUAGAUAUCAGGAAGAACACCCGUGGCGAAGGCGGUUCUCUGGGACGGUACUGACGCUGAGACGCGAAAGCGUGGGGAGCGAACAGG
Molecule: ribosomal RNA, 253 nt
Filed under: uncultured bacterium
Lineage: Bacteria
Description: partial 16S ribosomal RNA
Rfam family: Bacterial small subunit ribosomal RNA
Source: RNAcentral